GUAUAUGGAGGAGGAGCUGCUUUAUAGCGACGUGGGGGGAAGGGUGUGGGAACCUUAGAAGGUGUUCUUAGCGGCCUUGAUAAAGGCGAUGUUGAGGUGAUCCUCAUCGAAGAACCUUGUGUGGUAAACUCAAGCGUAUGUGGUUUGGGUGCCAUCGAUUACAAGCUCGUUCUAGCGCAUAACGAAACGAUGGCGAUGUCACAGGAGUUGUCGCCAAUUUAGAGGGAAGCAUGAUUAGGCUUGCAUCAGUCUACAUACCGUAUGACGCCAUCAACCCUCCUCACAUCACAUUCACAUUCGAAACCUCGUGAAAUAACGCAAAAAUGAGCUCUUAGUAAUCGGAAGCGAUUCAAAUGCCCACCACACUCAAUGGGGCAGUAUAAACAUCAACGAAAGACCACCUGGACCGGACGGCAUCAUCUCUGCACAGCUGCAGAACAGCUUGGAGCUAUAUAUGUAUCCUGUUUAAAACUUAAUCACAUACCACAGACAUGGAGGAAUCAGCCGUCUUCAUCCCCAAAGCAAGAGGCUGCUGUCUAUCAAAAGGGAAAAUAGACAGAAACUGCACUACAUGGACUAAUUACUUUCAUGGAAAGUCCUCUCUUCAACAAGGAAUUCGGUCUUGUUACUUUCAUUGAAAGUCCUCUCUUCAACAAGGAAUUCGGUCUUGUUACUUUCAUUGAAAAUCCUCUCUUCAACAAGGAAUUUGGUCUUGUUGCUUUCCUGGAUAGAAGCGGCUUUCAAUAACAUCUUACCAAGCGCAGUUACAACUGCAUUUCUAUGUUUAGAUGUAGACACUCAAUUAGUGGACUUCAUCAACCAGCUGCUACUAAGCAGGGUUAUAAGCACGAGCCGGGAAGGAUGUCAAGUAUCCAGAUCUGGAAUCGCACAGUAAACUCGUUACUAACGCAAACAGAAUGGAGUGGAGGCAAAGUAAUUGCCUACGCCGAUGACAUCGCCAAUGAAUACAGAGGGAACCCACAGGUACACAUUUCGGAAAUGGCAUAAGAAGAGACCACGAUAUACGAGAGGCGACAAACGACGUCAAAGUCAUGCAUCUAAUGAUGGUUUUAAGUUUUUGUGAUAUCACAAUGGGUCU
Molecule: long non-coding RNA, 1099 nt
Organism: Ceratitis capitata (Mediterranean fruit fly)
Lineage: Eukaryota; Metazoa; Arthropoda; Insecta; Diptera; Tephritidae
Exons: 4
Source: RefSeq, a predicted model, not a curated record